RNAcentral lists this ribosomal RNA (468 nucleotides) under uncultured bacterium. RNAcentral describes it as "partial 16S ribosomal RNA". It matches the Rfam family "Bacterial small subunit ribosomal RNA", at positions 28 to 507 of the family's 1533-position model. The record is from RNAcentral.
GACGAACGCUGGCGGCGUGCUUAACACAUGCAAGUCGAACGGAAAGGCCCUGCUUUUGUGGGGUGCUCGAGUGGCGAACGGGUGAGUAACACGUGAGUAACCUGCCCUUGACUUUGGGAUAACUUCAGGAAACUGGGGCUAAUACCGGAUAGGAUCUCCUGCUGCAUGGUGGGGGUUGGAAAGUUUCGGCGGUUGGGGAUGGACUCGCGGCUUAUCAGCUUGUUGGUGGGGUAGUGGCUUACCAAGGCUUUGACGGGUAGCCGGCCUGAGAGGGUGACCGGCCACAUGGGGACUGCGAUACGGCCCAGACUCCUACGGGAGGCAGCAGUGGGGAAUAUUGCACAAUGGGCGGAAGCCUGAUGCAGCAACGCCGCGUGCGGGAUGACGGCCUUCGGGUUGUAAACCGCUUUCGCCUGUGACGAAGCGUGAGUGACGGUAAUGGGUAAAGAAGCACCGGCUAACUACGUG